RNAcentral lists this ribosomal RNA (696 nucleotides) under Chiasmocleis capixaba. RNAcentral's name for it is "partial 12S ribosomal RNA". It matches the Rfam family "Bacterial small subunit ribosomal RNA", at positions 9 to 1349 of the family's 1533-position model. The record is from RNAcentral. Lineage: Eukaryota; Metazoa; Chordata; Amphibia; Anura; Microhylidae.
ACCAAGGAAAAGGAGCCGGUAUCAGGCUCAACUUUAAGCCCACGACACCUAGCCACGCCACGCCCACAAGGGUAUUCAGCAGUGAUAAACCUUGUUUAUAAGCGCAAGCUUGAAUCAGCUAUGGCAAAGAGGGCCGGCAAAUCCGGUGCCAGCCGCCGCGGCUACACCGUUAGGCCCAAGUUGACACACACCGGCGUUAAGCGUGAUUAGAGUGAUUACACUGAUUAGAGUUAAACCCAAACUUAGUCGUGAUACACUUGUUCCCGGGAAACCCAAAAACGAAAGUUACUCUAACCAACCCACUUGACCCCACGACAGCUAGGACACAAACUGGGAUUAGGUACCCCACUAUGCCUAGCCGUAAAAUAUACACUCACCCCAUAAAUCGCCAGGGAAUUACGAGCCCAAGCUUAAAACCCAAAGGACUUGACGGUGUCCCACCCACCUAGAGGAGCCUGUUCUAUAAUCGAUUCCCCCCGAUAAACCUCACCACUUCUGGCCAACUCAGCCUGUAUACCUCCGUCGUAAGCUUACCAUGUGAACGAAGCCAGUGAGCCAAAAGAUCCAACAUCAGUACGUCAGGUCAAGGUGCAGCUAACGAACUGGAAAGAAAUGGGCUACAAUUUCUACCAUAGAACAAACGAAAGGCUACAUGAAACAUAGUCACUGAAGGCGGAUUUAGCAGUAAAAAGAAAA